AUGUCAACAUGAGCUAAUUUAGGUUUACAAGACAGUGCUUCACCUUUAAUAGAACAAUUAACUUUUUUUCAUGAUCAUACCCUAUUAAUUUUAAUUAUAAUUACUGUACUUGUAGGCUAUAUUAUAAUUAUAUUAUUUUUUAAUUUAUAUACAAAUCGAUUUUUACUACAUGGCCAAACUAUCGAAAUAAUUUGAACCAUCUUACCAGCAAUUAUUUUAUUAUUUAUUGCCUUUCCUUCCUUACGGCUACUUUACUUACUAGAUGAAAUUAAUGAACCAAUUUUAACUUUAAAAACCAUUGGCCAUCAAUGAUACUGAAGUUAUGAAUAUUCAGAUUUUACAAAUUUAGAAUUUGACGCCUAUAUAGUCCCCACUAAUGAACUUUUAGUUGAAGGAUUUCGACUAUUAGAUGUUGAUAACCAUGUAAUUUUACCCAUAAAUUCCCAAAUCCGAGUUUUAGUUACUGCCGCUGAUGUAAUUCAUUCUUGAACAAUCCCUGCACUCGGCGUAAAAAUUGACGGCACUCCCGGUCGAUUAAACCAAACUAAUUUUAUUAUUAACCGACCGGGCCUAUUCUACGGACAAUGCUCAGAAAUUUGCGGCGCAAAUCACAGCUUUAUACCUAUCGUAAUUGAAAGUGUCCCAACCAAUUUCUUUAUUAAAUGAAUUUCU
This 672-nucleotide ribosomal RNA is filed under the name Nemomydas pantherinus. RNAcentral describes it as "partial 16S ribosomal RNA". The record is from RNAcentral. Lineage: Eukaryota; Metazoa; Arthropoda; Insecta; Diptera; Mydidae.